Molecule: ribosomal RNA, 438 nt
Filed under: uncultured bacterium
Lineage: Bacteria
Description: bacterial SSU rRNA
Rfam family: Bacterial small subunit ribosomal RNA
Source: RNAcentral
UACGGAAGGCAGCAGUGGGGAAUAUUGCACAAUGGGCGCAAGCCUGAUGCAGCCAUGCCGCGUGUAUGAAGAAGGCCUUCGGGUUGUAAAGUACUUUCAGUCGUGAGGAAGGUGUUAAGGUUAAUAACCUUAGCAAUUGACGUUAGCGACAGAAGAAGCACCGGCUAACUCCGUGCCAGCAGCCGCGGUAAUACGGAGGGUGCGAGCGUUAAUCGGAAUUACUGGGCUAAAGGGCACGCAGGCGGUUAAUUAAGUUGGAUGUGAAAUCCCCGGGCUUAACCUGGGAAUGGCAUUCAAGACUGGUUAGCUAGAGUCUUGUAGAGGGGGUAGAAUUCCAUGUGUAGCGGUGAAAUGCGUAGAGAUGUGGAGGAAUACCGGUGGCGAAGGCGGCCCCUGGGACAAAGACUGACGCUCAUGUGCGAAAGCUGGGGAGCAAAC